GACGAACCGUGCGAACGUUAUUCGGAAUCACUGGGCUUAAAGCGUGCGUAGGCGGCUCAGAAAGUUGGGUGUGAAAUACCUCGGCUCAACCGAGGAAUUGCGCUCAAAACUACUGGGCUUGAGGGAGUUAGAGGUGAGCGGAACUAAUGGUGGAGCGGUGAAAUGCGUUGAUAUCAUUAGGAACACCGGUGGCGAAAGCGGCUCACUGGGGCUCUGCUGACGCUGAGGCACGAAAGCUAGGGGAGCGAACGGG
RNAcentral lists this ribosomal RNA (253 nucleotides) under Pirellulales bacterium. RNAcentral's name for it is "partial 16S ribosomal RNA". It matches the Rfam family "Bacterial small subunit ribosomal RNA", at positions 524 to 776 of the family's 1533-position model. Lineage: Bacteria; Pseudomonadati; Planctomycetota; Planctomycetia; Pirellulales. RNAcentral also lists the same sequence under 1 other name. The record is from RNAcentral.